GUCGUAAAGAAGCUUGGCUGCAGUCACCGCUCAGCACACAGUCUCCCUUCAAGUGGAAAAAUAUCUCUCACUAAUUAAUGUAACUCACCAAGGAAGACAUAUCUAUUCCAAGCUCUGAGUCAGAGGAGAGAAAUAUGAGCUGCAUGCGGGAACUGAGUCUACACCGAGCGUUGUCGUGCACGUGUGUGACAGCGACUUGGAGGAGGAGGAGGAUCCAAAGACUUCCCCAAAGCCAAAAAUCAUCCAGACCCGGCGUCCUGGCCUGCCACCCUCCGUGUCCAACUGAGCACGUCCAUGAUAACAUGCAUCUCCUCUUAUCAUGCUUUUUCUCCCUUGUUCGUCCAAAAAUUAAUUGCCUUGAAGUCCCUGGGUGUUUGGUUGUUUGAGAAUCCUUCCUUGUAAUUAAGCCUCUCGGACAAAAGGGCUAGGAAAAGGUGAUAUGUCUCCCAGUCAACUCAUACCCAUUAACCAGAGUCCAUUAUUUAGAAAGUUCUAGACAAAGGGUAGUAUUUUCUUAUUAAACAAUCAGUACAGCCU
Molecule: long non-coding RNA, 537 nt
Filed under: Rattus norvegicus (Norway rat)
Lineage: Eukaryota; Metazoa; Chordata; Mammalia; Rodentia; Muridae
Description: long non-coding RNA NONRATT029842
Source: RNAcentral